AUUGAACGCUGGCGGCAUGCCUUACACAUGCAAGUCGAACGGCAGCGGGGACUUCGGUCCGCCGGCGAGUGGCGAACGGGUGAGUAAUGUAUCGGAACGUACCAUUCAGUGGGGGAUAACUAUCCGAAAGGAUAGCUAAUACCGCAUAUUCUGUGAGCAGGAAAGCAGGGGAUCGCAAGACCUUGCGCUGAUUGAGCGGCCGAUAUCAGAUUAGCUAGUUGGUGAGGUAAAGGCUCACCAAGGCGACGAUCUGUAGCGGGUCUGAGAGGAUGAUCCGCCACACUGGAACUGAGACACGGUCCAGACUCCUACGGGAGGCAGCAGUGGGGAAUUUUGGACAAUGGGGGCAACCCUGAUCCAGCUAUGCCGCGUGAGUGAAGAAGGCCUUCGGGUUGUAAAGCUCUUUCGGCCGGGAAAAAAUCGCAUGGGUUAAUACCCUGUGCGGAUGAUGGUACCGGAAUAAGAAGCACCGGCUAACUACGUGCCAGCCGCCGCCGUAA
This 500-nucleotide ribosomal RNA is filed under the name uncultured bacterium. RNAcentral's name for it is "partial 16S ribosomal RNA". It matches the Rfam family "Bacterial small subunit ribosomal RNA", at positions 30 to 523 of the family's 1533-position model. The record is from RNAcentral.